GAUGAACGCUGGCGGCGUGCCUAAUACAUGCAAGUCGAGCGAACAGACGAGGAGCUUGCUCCUCUGACGUUAGCGGUGGACGGGUGAGUAACACGUGGAUAACCUACCUAUAAGACUGGGAUAACUACGGGAAACCGGAGCUAAUACCGGAUAACAUGUUGAACCGCAUGGUUCAACAGUGAAAGACGGUCUUGCUGUCACUUAUAGAUGGAUCCGCGCCGCAUUAGCUAGUUGGUAAGGUAACGGCUUACCAAGGCAACGAUGCGUAGCCGACCUGAGAGGGUGAUCGGCCACACUGGAACUGGGACACGGGCCAGACUCCUACGGGAGGCAGCAGUAGGGAAUCUUCCGCAAUGGGCGAAAGCCUGACGGAGCAACGCCGCGUGAGUGAAGAAGGUCUUCGGAUCGUAAAACUCUGUUAUUAGGGAAGAACAAAUGUGUAAGUAACUAUGCACGUCUUGACGGUACCUAAUCAGAAAGCCACGGCUAACUACGUGCCAGCAGCCGCGGUAA
RNAcentral lists this ribosomal RNA (513 nucleotides) under uncultured bacterium. Its description in RNAcentral is "partial 16S ribosomal RNA". It matches the Rfam family "Bacterial small subunit ribosomal RNA", at positions 28 to 523 of the family's 1533-position model. The record is from RNAcentral.